Molecule: ribosomal RNA, 430 nt
Filed under: uncultured bacterium
Lineage: Bacteria
Description: bacterial SSU rRNA
Rfam family: Bacterial small subunit ribosomal RNA
Source: RNAcentral
UGGGGAAUUGUUCGCAAUGGGCGCAAGCCUGACGACGCAACGCCGCGUGGAGGAUGACGGCUUUCGGGUCGUAAACUCCUGUCGUGCGGGACGAACGGCUCUCUGGUGAACAGCCAGGGGGAGUGACGGUACCGCGAAAGGAAGCCCCGGCUAACUCCGUGCCAGCAGCCGCGGUAAUACGGGGGGGGCAAGCGUUGUUCGGAAUUACUGGGCGUAAAGGGCUCGUAGGCGGCCCGCUAAGUCAGACGUGAAAGCCCUCGGCUCAACCGGGGAACGGCGUCUGAGACUGGCGGGCUGGAGUCCGGGAGAGGGAUGCGGAAUUCCAGGUGUAGCGGUGAAAUGCGUAGAUAUCUGGAGGAACACCGGUGGCGAAGGCGGCAUCCUGGACCGGCACUGACGCUGAGGAGCGAAAGCCAGGGGAGCAAACGGG